GGCCAGUGGUGUUUACAACUAAUUGAUCACAACCAGUUACAGAUUCCUUUGUUCCUUCUCCACUCCCACUGCUCCAC
Molecule: small RNA, 77 nt
Filed under: Microcebus murinus (gray mouse lemur)
Lineage: Eukaryota; Metazoa; Chordata; Mammalia; Primates; Cheirogaleidae
Description: Y RNA (ENSMICG00000042568.1)
Source: RNAcentral